Molecule: ribosomal RNA, 1479 nt
Filed under: metagenome
Description: bacterial SSU rRNA
Rfam family: Bacterial small subunit ribosomal RNA
Source: RNAcentral
AGAGUUUGAUCAUGGCUCAGGAUGAACGCUGGCGGCGUGCUUAACACAUGCAAGUCGAACGAGGAAUUUUAAAUGAGACUUCGGUGGAUUUUAGAAUUCUUAGUGGCGGACGGGUGAGUAACGCGUGGGCAACCUGCCCUGUACAGGGGGACAACAGCUGGAAACGGCUGCUAAUACCGCAUAAGCGCACAGCAUCGCAUGAUGCCGUGUGAAAAACUCCGGUGGUACAGGAUGGGCCCGCGUUGGAUUAGGUAGUUGGUGAGGUAACGGCCCACCAAGCCGACGAUCCAUAGCCGACCUGAGAGGGUGACCGGCCACAUUGGGACUGAGACACGGCCCAAACUCCUACGGGAGGCAGCAGUGGGGAAUAUUGCACAAUGGGGGAAACCCUGAUGCAGCGACGCCGCGUGGAGGAAGAAGGUCUUCGGAUUGUAAACUCCUGUUGUUGAGGAAGAUAAUGACGGUACUCAACAAGGAAGUGACGGCUAACUACGUGCCAGCAGCCGCGGUAAAACGUAGGUCACAAGCGUUGUCCGGAAUUACUGGGUGUAAAGGGAGCGCAGGCGGGAAGACAAGUUGGAAGUGAAAUCCAUGGGCUCAACCCAUGAACUGCUUUCAAAACUGUUUUUCUUGAGUAGUGCAGAGGUAGGCGGAAUUCCCGGUGUAGCGGUGGAAUGCGUAGAUAUCGGGAGGAACACCAGUGGCGAAGGCGGCCUACUGGGCACCAACUGACGCUGAGGCUCGAAAGUGUGGGUAGCAAACAGGAUUAGAUACCCUGGUAGUCCACACUGUAAACGAUGAUUACUAGGUGUUGGAGGAUUGACCCCUUCAGUGCCGCAGUUAACACAAUAAGUAAUCCACCUGGGGAGUACGACCGCAAGGUUGAAACUCAAAGGAAUUGACGGGGGCCCGCACAAGCAGUGGAGUAUGUGGUUUAAUUCGACGCAACGCGAAGAACCUUACCAAGUCUUGACAUCCAUCGACGACUAUAGAAAUAUAGUUUUCCUUCGGGGCGGUGAGACAGGUGGUGCAUGGUUGUCGUCAGCUCGUGUCGUGAGAUGUUGGGUUAAGUCCCGCAACGAGCGCAACCCUUAUGGUCAGUUACUACGCAAGAGGACUCUGGCCAGACUGCCGUUGACAAAACGGAGGAAGGUGGGGAUGACGUCAAAUCAUCAUGCCCUUUAUGACUUGGGCUACACACGUACUACAAUGGCGUUAAACAAAGAGAAGCAAGACCGCGAGGUGGAGCAAAACUCAGAAACAACGUCCCAGUUCGGACUGCAGGCUGCAACUCGCCUGCACGAAGUCGGAAUUGCUAGUAAUCGCAGAUCAGCAUGCUGCGGUGAAUACGUUCCCGGGCCUUGUACACACCGCCCGUCACACCAUGAGAGCCGGGGGGACCCGAAGUCGGUAGUCUAACCGCAAGGAGGACGCCGCCGAAGGUAAAACUGGUGAUUGGGGUGAAGUCGUAACAAGGUA